AUGCAGUCACCUUUUUCGAGAUAAGCUGAGAGGGUCUUGAUGGUCUGGUCGACGGGUGCACCAGCUUUGACGAGCAUGAUUAUGACACGUGGUUUUUGAAUGGAGUUGACGAAGGACUCGGGGUCGUGGAAGCCGUAGACCGGGAGGUUUCCUUCUUUCUUGGCUCGUUCGACGGUUUCGUCGACUUUGGAAGUUGUUCUGUUGUAGACGGAGAUUGGGAAGCCUUUGGAAGCAAUGUUGAGAGCUAGGUUCUGUCCCAUCACAGCUAGUCCAGCUAAACCUAUUCUUGUUGGUUGAACAGCCAUUGUAUUUGUCUUCUUCUCUUCUUCUUCUCUCUGCUGUUAAAAAAAAAUCAAUGUUGAGAGCUAGGUUCUGUCCCAUCACAGCUAGUCCAGCUAGACCUAUUCUUGUUGGUUGAACAGCCAUUGUAUCUAUCCCACUUCUUCUUCUCUCUUGCUGUUAUAAAAACCUGAGCCGCAACCUUGAGGAGAAUGUCUUCGAUGUUCUUGUACGCUUCAAAGGACCCUCCAGGCAUCAGAGAUGGGCCGUUACGAGCGCCUUCUUCGCCGCCUGAGACUCCCAUUCCUAGGUAGAGGAAACCGUUCUCAGCCACAGCUUUUUCUCUCCUCUCGGUGUUCUCGUACCACUCGUUGCCACCGUCGACGAUGCAGUCACCUUUUUCGAGAUAAGCUGAGAGGGUCUUGAUGGUCUGGUCGACGGGUGCACCAGCUUUGACGAGCAUGAUUAUGACACGUGGUUUUUGAAUGGAGUUGACGAAGGACUCGGGGUCGUGGAAGCCGUAGACCGGGAGGUUUCCUUCUUUCUUGGCUCGUUCGACGGUUUCGUCGACUUUGGAAGUUGUUCUGUUGUAGACGGAGAUUGGGAAGCCUUUGGAAGCAAUGUUGAGAGCUAGGUUCUGUCCCAUCACAGCUAGUCCAGCUAAACCUAUUCUUGUUGGUUGAACAGCCAUUGUAUUUGUCUUCUUCUCUUCUUCUUCUCUCUGCUGUUAAAAAAAAAUGAAACUCACAGAUCUCAAAUCUAGAACAAAGAAGACACCUUAAUAGAUAAUUAAACCAAUCGAUUCAACCAGGGAUCAAAAAUAUCUAACAGAUAAUGGAUACAAGCAAUUACAAAAUCAAUCAACACGAAGAAGACUAUUACAGAUCCAGAAUAAAAAAUUACGACUAAGCUCGAAGAACAGAUUACUAUAUAUAACCAACAUAGUGAUCUACAAAAAUAUUACAAUGAGAAGAUAAAGGGAGAGUGAUCGGAGAAACUAACCUGUUUUAUCCCGAAAUUGAUUUGAGUUUUUACAAGGAGAGAUCU
This 1326-nucleotide long non-coding RNA is filed under the name Brassica napus (rape). RNAcentral describes it as "long non-coding RNA (BNAP_LNC004725)". Lineage: Eukaryota; Viridiplantae; Streptophyta; Magnoliopsida; Brassicales; Brassicaceae. The record is from RNAcentral.